This 401-nucleotide long non-coding RNA is filed under the name Androctonus crassicauda. Lineage: Eukaryota; Metazoa; Arthropoda; Arachnida; Scorpiones; Buthidae. The record is from RNAcentral.
CUGGUUAGGCUCUGAUGUGGUGAUCCGUUCCCUACUGUGGUCAUGAGUAUUGCAGUAGCCAGACUUGGGUUGGUGCUGCUUUCGCCACCAGUGGCCAAGGGAGGCUGUAGUAAAUUUUCUGAAUGUCAGCCUCUGCCUAACUCACAGACGCGGACCUUGAUAACCCCGGCCGAUGUCCGAGCCGGUAUGCUUUCGUUUUCUGCUUUGUACGAUUGCAUACUAACAAAACACCACCGAAUUGGGGACACCUGCUAGCAUUUAGUUGAACAUAAUGGAAUAGCCUUCUCGCCCUGGGUGACUCUACCAGAAACAUAAUAUUUGACAUGCAUUGCCCAUUCUGCCCAUGUACAUCUCUUCGCCACUUUGAGGCAGCAUAGCAGGAUUCAGGAGGGAUUAUUAUU